CACAUCUGCAUUGACAAGUUACAACUUAUAUCCUUCUAUGGUGUUUUUGCUCUUUUGAAAUGUUAAUAAAAACUUAAUGUGGAAAAAAAACAACUUUUUCCAAAUAUGUGUACCAAUGGGCCCGAGGCAACUCAUUUUUCUUCUUAAAGUUAAUUGCAACUUUUUUUCUCAGCGCCUUGAUCUGGAUAAGCCACAUCUCAUUAGAAAAAGAUUUAGCUGGAGCCAAAGCAGGCUAGAGAAGGAAUCCCUAAUC
RNAcentral lists this long non-coding RNA (253 nucleotides) under Homo sapiens (human). Its description in RNAcentral is "HSALNT0168660". Lineage: Eukaryota; Metazoa; Chordata; Mammalia; Primates; Hominidae. The record is from RNAcentral.